AGGAUAAACGCUGGCGGCGUGCCUAACACAUGCAAGUCGAACGCGCUUUCGGGCUUCGGUGCGAGAGCGAGUGGCGGACGGGUGAGUAACACAUGGGUACCUACCUUGGAGUGAGGGAUACCGGCGAGAAAUCGCCGACAAUACCGCAUAGGCUUCUUCACAAGGGAAGCAAAGUGACGCGAGUCACGCUGUGAGAUGGGCCUGUGGCCGAUUAGCUAGUUGGGGGGGUAACGGCUUCCCAAGGCGACGAUCGGUAGCUGGUCUGAGAGGACGAUCAGCCACACUGGGAUUGAGAACGGCCCAGACUCCUACGGGGGGCAGCAGUGAGGAAUUUUCCGCAAUGGAGGCAACUCUGACGGAGCAACGCCGCGUGCAGGAGGAAGGUUUUCGGAUCGUAAACUGCUUUUCGUCGGGGACGAGCAAGGACGGUACCCGAGGAAGAGCCCCGGCUAACUACGUGCCGCAGCCGC
Molecule: ribosomal RNA, 470 nt
Filed under: uncultured bacterium
Lineage: Bacteria
Description: SSU rRNA
Rfam family: Bacterial small subunit ribosomal RNA
Source: RNAcentral